This 202-nucleotide ribosomal RNA is filed under the name Clostridioides sp. ZZV14-6048. RNAcentral describes it as "partial 16S ribosomal RNA". It matches the Rfam family "Bacterial small subunit ribosomal RNA", at positions 945 to 1146 of the family's 1533-position model. The record is from RNAcentral. Lineage: Bacteria; Bacillati; Bacillota; Clostridia; Peptostreptococcales; Peptostreptococcaceae.
UUUAAUUCGAAGCAACGCGAAGAACCUUACCUAAGCUUGACAUCCCAAUGACAUCUCCUUAAUCGGAGAGUUCCCUUCGGGGACAUUGGUGACAGGUGGUGCAUGGUUGUCGUCAGCUCGUGUCGUGAGAUGUUGGGUUAAGUCCCGCAACGAGCGCAACCCUUGUCUUUAGUUGCCAUCAUUAAGUUGGGCACUCUAGAGA